Molecule: non-coding RNA, 176 nt
Filed under: Leptospira licerasiae
Lineage: Bacteria; Pseudomonadati; Spirochaetota; Leptospiria; Leptospirales; Leptospiraceae
Source: RNAcentral
UGAUCGGGUUGGGAACCUGGUCUUGCAAGUAGAUCCGAAAAGGGAAUCCGGUGAAAAUCCGGAGCUGUACCCGCAGCUGUAAUCGCCUAAACGGUCGGACAAAACCACUGUCGAAAGACGGGAAGGGUCCGAACCUUCGCGUAAGUCAGAAAACCUAUCGGAGCUGCUUUCAAUUC